Molecule: ribosomal RNA, 439 nt
Filed under: uncultured bacterium
Lineage: Bacteria
Description: partial 16S ribosomal RNA
Rfam family: Bacterial small subunit ribosomal RNA
Source: RNAcentral
CCUACGGGUGGCAGCAGUGGGGAAUAUUGCACAAUGGACGAAAGCCUGAUGCAGCAACGCCGCGUGAGCGAUGAAGGCCUUCGGGUCGUAAAGCUCUGUCCUCAAGGAAGAUAAUGACGGUACUUGAGGAGGAAGCCCCGGCUAACUACGUUCCCACAGCCGCGGUAAUACGUAGGGGGCUAGCGUUCUCCGGAAUUACUGGGCGUAAGGGGUGUGUAGGUGGUUUCUUAAGUCAGAGGUGAAAGGCUAGGGCGCAAACGGAGUAAGCUUUUGAAAUUGGGUAACGUGAGUGCAGGAGAGGAGAGUGGAAUUCCUAGUGUAGCGGUGAAAUGCGUAGAUAUUAGGAGGAACACCAGUUGCGAAGGCGGCUCUCUGGACUGUAACUGACACUGAGGCACGAAAGCGUGGGGAGCAAACAGGAUUAGAUACCCUUGUAGUC